Molecule: long non-coding RNA, 2012 nt
Filed under: Hordeum vulgare
Lineage: Eukaryota; Viridiplantae; Streptophyta; Magnoliopsida; Poales; Poaceae
Description: long non-coding RNA (HVUL_LNC000820)
Source: RNAcentral
AAUGACACAACUAAUGGCAAAGAUGGUCCACUCAAACGGCAAAGAGUCACCGCAACUGAAGCCAUCCCCCUUCCCGUGAGCCUAGGGACUCUUUGCCGCCUGCCUCGACCCGUUUGCCGUAAGCUUGAUCCGUAGGCGGAUGGCAUAGGGGACGGCCUUCUAAGAGCUGAUGCCCCAUCUCCUCACCCCAUCUGGCCUCUCCCCAUUCUCACUUUCCCAGAUCCACACGUAUGUACCUGUCCUCCCCACCCCCCCUAAUGGAUGGAUCCUGAUGGAGGAGGAGAAGAAGGGAUGGAUCCCUCACACCCCGUGCUUCUUCUCCACGGAUACGCGCCUAGACGGAGGAGCAGAGUGCGUGCGUCCUCCACGGAUCCUGCAUUCUUCUCCAUGGAUCCACGAUGGAGGAGUAUAUUCGCCUUGAUCCGCCGUCGUUUCUCUGAUUCCGGUCCGCCUCGUGCGGAUCCCGCCAUUACGCUCGCUGAUUUCGUGUUUAUUCGGCAGGAACCAGCCGCUGCGGAGGAAGAAGUUGUACGCUCGCCACCGCCCUUCACCACGUCUCGUGCCUCCUCUCACACCGGUGCCGCGACCUGCCUCAUCGUCUGGAUCCCCUCGAUCUGGACAUGUCGUGCUACAUCCCUCAACCUCAAGGUAAGUGGGUUGUGUAAGCUGCGUCCACCAUGCUCCACUCCUUGCAUGGCCUCUGCUGCCUGAAUGCGACCACGGCCGAUCCGUCCACGUGCGGACGCUCCAGCCUUAACAGGAUCUCCUUCCACUUGCUGGCGUACUCCUCACGUGGACGCCCGCCACGAUCUGGAUGUCACACCGCCUCAGCAGCCUAGCAAUACCCAUGAAUUAGGUAGUUGUUAGUACAAUUAACCAUGUCGAAUUCAGUACGUUUUUCAACCCUUUUGAAUGAAGAGAUGAAUCUGCCUCUGGUGGUGGGAGAAAGACAAUGCCAGUUGGUGCUAUUGUUGUUACACCCAUGACGCAAGCUCCGGUGUCGCCGUGAUGUUGGUUCGGGAAGAGGAUGCAAACACUACAACUCUGAACUCCACAACGUACAUUCCUCUCAUUUUGUUGCUAUUGUAGUGGAGCCCCUAGGAUGCAUGCAGCACAGACGUUGGUUCUUCCAAUCAAGAAACACGAAAUCUGCCACCGUCGUUUCUCUAUGUGUGCUGGUAUGUUUUGUGUGUGAUUCAAAGUUUGACAACUGGCAUGAUGUGAGAAAAAACAUCGGUGGAUACCUCUCAUCAAUUGCUCAUAGUUGGUUUGUUACUUUAGUGUUUAGACCGAUGAGUGAAUCUACAAGUAAUGUUAAUAAAACUGUAACCUUCAUUGCAGGACAAGUUCUACCUGAAUCUCAUGUAUUUGUCUUCACAUAAUGUCCUCUUAGUUAGAUUGUCACAUGCAGCAAGGUGAGCAACCAAUCAUAAUCGUGAGAUUUCUUAUCUAAGUGCUGAAGACAACUACUACGCAAGUUCAUGUAUGUAUAACUUCUAAUUGCUUAUCUUAGAGAAGACCCAGUUGUAGGUAAGCUACACGACCAAUUUCAUCUUAGUAAAGUUUUCAUUCAACUUUUCUAUUUGGAUUGUAUAUUUCCGUUACUAUCUCUUCUACCUUAUUUUAGCGAAUGUAAUUAGCUGCGAUGGCAUUCCACAACUCUCUAUGUUUUUAGUCUUUUUAUUUACUAGCAUUGUGUUCCACUUCAGGAUUCAAAGAAUCACAAAUGCACCGUGAGACUAUUAUGCCCAUAAUUAGUCAAGAGCCUAAGACAUGCUAAAACUUUUUUUCAGCUAAGAUAGUUAUGAAAAAAGGACUUUGUUAAUUAGUACUAAAAUGCAUAACAUAGAUUCUAGAAUCUUAUUUUUUGAUGUUUAUAAUAUGAACAACAUGAUUUUUUCCAGGUCAUAAAUUUCUUGGAAAAAUGCGACAUCGAUGCUAGAAUGCCAAUGAGAAUAUGUCUGGUGAUGGGGAUUAUUUUGCAUGAUGAUGGUGUCGUGGCGUCUGCACUU